AUUGAACGCUGGCGGCAGGCCUAACACAUGCAAGUCGAACGGUAGCACAGAGAGCUUGCUCUCGGGUGACGAGUGGCGGACGGGUGAGUAAUGUCUGGGAAACUGCCCGAUGGAGGGGGAUAACUACUGGAAACGGUAGCUAAUACCGCAUAACGUCGCAAGACCAAAGUGGGGGACCUUCGGGCCUCACACCAUCGGAUGUGCCCAGAUGGGAUUAGCUAGUAGGUGGGGUAAUGGCUCACCUAGGCGACGAUCCCUAGCUGGUCUGAGAGGAUGACCAGCCACACUGGAACUGAGACACGGUCCAGACGCCUACGGGAGGCAGCAGUGGGGAAUAUUGCACAAUGGGCGCAAGCCUGAUGCAGCCAUGCCGCGUGUAUGAAGAAGGCCUUCGGGUUGUAAAGUACUUUCAGCGGGGAGGAAGGCGGUGAAGUUAAUAACUUCACCGAUUGACGUUACCCGCAGAAGAAGCACCGGCUAACUCCGUGCCAGCAGCCGCAGUAA
RNAcentral lists this ribosomal RNA (504 nucleotides) under uncultured bacterium. RNAcentral's name for it is "partial 16S ribosomal RNA". It matches the Rfam family "Bacterial small subunit ribosomal RNA", at positions 30 to 523 of the family's 1533-position model. The record is from RNAcentral.